UACGAAGGGGGCUAGCGUUGUUCGGAAUUACUGGGCGUAAAGCGCGCGUAGGCGGUGAUCCAUGUCAGAGGUGAAAUCCCGGGGCUCAACUCCGGAAUUGCCUUUGAAACGGGAUCGCUAGAGUCCGAGAGAGGAUGGCGGAAUUCCUAGUGUAGAGGUGAAAUUCGUAGAUAUUAGGAAGAACACCGGUGGCGAAGGCGGCCAUCUGGCUCGGUACUGACGCUCAGGCGCGAAAGCGUGGGGAGCAAACAGG
Molecule: ribosomal RNA, 253 nt
Filed under: uncultured bacterium
Lineage: Bacteria
Description: partial 16S ribosomal RNA
Rfam family: Bacterial small subunit ribosomal RNA
Source: RNAcentral